RNAcentral lists this ribosomal RNA (490 nucleotides) under uncultured bacterium. RNAcentral describes it as "partial 16S ribosomal RNA". It matches the Rfam family "Bacterial small subunit ribosomal RNA", at positions 30 to 507 of the family's 1533-position model. The record is from RNAcentral.
AUUGAACGCUGGCGGCAGGCCUAACACAUGCAAGUCGAACGGUAACAGGAAGAAGCUUGCUUCUUUGCUGACGAGUGGCGGACGGGUGAGUAAUGUCUGGGAAACUGCCUGAUGGAGGGGGAUAACUACUGGAAACGGUAGCUAAUACCGCAUAACGUCGCAAGACCAAAGAGGGGGACCUUCGGGCCUCUUGCCAUCGGAUGUGCCCAGAUGGCAUUAGCUAGUAGGUGGGGUAACGGCUCACCUAGGCGACGAUCCCUAGCUGGUCUGAGAGGAUGACCAGCCACACUGGAACUGAGACACGGUCCAGACUCCUACGGGAGGCAGCAGUGGGGAAUAUUGCACAAUGGGCGCAAGCCUGAUGCAGCCAUGCCGCGUGUAUGAAGAAGGCCUUCGGGUUGUAAAGUACUUUCAGCGGGGAGGAAGGGAGUAAAGUUAAUACCUUUACUCAUUGACGUUACCCGCAGAAGAAGCACCGGCUAACUCCGUG